RNAcentral lists this ribosomal RNA (263 nucleotides) under uncultured bacterium. RNAcentral's name for it is "partial 16S ribosomal RNA". It matches the Rfam family "Bacterial small subunit ribosomal RNA", at positions 793 to 1055 of the family's 1533-position model. The record is from RNAcentral.
GUCCACGCCCUAAACGAUGUAUACUCGACAUCAGCGAUACACAGUUGGUGUCCAAGCGAAAGCGUUAAGUAUACCACCUGGGAAGUACGUCCGCAAGGAUGAAACUCAAAAGGAAUUGGCGGGGGUCCGCACAAGCGGUGGAGCAUGUGGUUUUAAUUCGAUGAUACGCGAGGAACCUUACCUGGGCUAGAAUGUGACUUGACCGAUCCUGAAAGGGGUCUUUGUAGCAAUACACAAGUUACAAGGUGCUGCAUGGUUGUCGU